RNAcentral lists this ribosomal RNA (605 nucleotides) under uncultured fungus. RNAcentral describes it as "eukaryotic LSU rRNA". It matches the Rfam family "Eukaryotic large subunit ribosomal RNA", at positions 1 to 608 of the family's 3401-position model. Lineage: Eukaryota; Fungi. The record is from RNAcentral.
UUGACCUCAGAUCAGGUAGGACUACCGCCUGAACUUAAGCAUAUCAAUAAGGCGAGGAACAGAAACCAACAGGGAUUCCCCUAGUAGUGGCGAAUGAACCGGGAAGAGCUCAAGUUUGAAAUCUGGUGUCAACCAGAGUUGUAAGCUGAAGAGGCGUCGACCGACGAUGGACCAGGCUCAAUGAACCUUGGAACAGGCAGUCGUGGAGGGUGAAAAUCCCGUCUAUGGCUUGUGUGCCGUCGUCUAUGUGUCGUGCCCUCGAAGAGUCGGGUUGUUUGGGAAUGCAGCUCAAAAUGGGUGGUAAAUUUCAUCUAAAGCUAAAUAUUGGCGAGAGACCGAUAGCAAACAAGUAGAGUGAUCGAAAGAUGAUAAGUAUCUUGAAAAGGAAGUGAAACAGUACGUGAAAUUGUUGAAAGGGAAGCGUUUGGCAUCAGCCCAUGGCGUUCGAGCAAUCGCGGCCGCUUCUGCGACGUGAUAUUGUCGGACGUCGGGCCAGCGUCGGCUCUGUUAGCUGGAGAAAGGCCUUGGGGAUGUGACACUCUUCGGGGUGUGUUUAUAACCCUUGGCGUCAUACAGUGGACGGGGUCGAGGUCUGCGGUCUAACC